Molecule: ribosomal RNA, 253 nt
Filed under: uncultured bacterium
Lineage: Bacteria
Description: partial 16S ribosomal RNA
Rfam family: Bacterial small subunit ribosomal RNA
Source: RNAcentral
UACAGAGGGAGCAAGCGUUGUUCGGAAUUACUGGGCGUAAAGGGCGCGUAGGCGGCCUGUUAAGUCGAACGUGAAAUCCCCGGGCUCAACCCGGGAACUGCGUCCGAUACUGGCAGGCUUGAAUCCGGGAGAGGGAUGCGGAAUUCCAGGUGUAGCGGUGAAAUGCGUAGAUAUCUGGAGGAACACCGGUGGCGAAGGCGGCAUCCUGGACCGGCAUUGACGCUGAGGCGCGAAAGCCAGGGGAGCAAACGGG